Long non-coding RNA from Neomonachus schauinslandi (Hawaiian monk seal), 906 nucleotides. RefSeq lists it as uncharacterized. The transcript is spliced from 5 exons. Lineage: Eukaryota; Metazoa; Chordata; Mammalia; Carnivora; Phocidae. The record is from RefSeq and is a predicted model, not a curated record.
GGGAAGGUGUUCCCGAGACCGCUCCCAUCCUCACCCCGCCUCCCCGCCUCCCCGGCUCCAGCCUCCGCCGGCGGAGCUCCACUAUGCCAGACAGUUUCGACACUUUGCAAAGACAAAGACCAGAGGGAGGAGGAAGAGGAGGACGAAGAGGAAGAGGAGGAGGGAGAGGAGGACGGAGCGAUGUGAGCUGGGAAGGGGGCGAGUGUUCGGGACACCCCCCCUUUAUUCUCCUCGGAGCCCCUCAUCCCCAAAGCCGCGGAAACUCCAGCGGGUCUCCAGCUGCGCUGGGACCAUUUUCAGAAUCAAACUUUCUGACCUGGCAAUGCCAAUAGAAGAAAUAAUCAUUGCCAGGACCUGUGGUGAGCAAACACUUUGAGCUUUGUGGCCAGGACAGUUUCCUCUGAGGACCUGAGAUGGACAGUCCCUCAGCCCCCUGAGCAUGGAAGGCACGUCCUCUCUGUGCGCGAUGCUGGCAACAUGAGAGAGAGCCAGUGUAUGUGGCUCUGGGGCACUCUGAGCUUCCUGGUGACCCUGAAACCACAGCAAAACACACCCAUUCUCCGUUGCCUGGGAGCAUGCUGUACCCGACGGGAGACAGGCAGAAGAAGGAUGAACUAGGGGUUGGCCAGUCCUGUGGAUCAUUCCUGAAUCCUUGAGAUUCCCGUAGAUGAAGAAACGGAGUCUCAGAGAGGUUAAGGAAUUCCCCCGAGGUCGCACAGCGGAUGACAGGCAAGCCUCAGUGCCUCCAUCCGGCAUGCUGCUUAACGGCCACAUCUCUGGUGACAGCAUGGGAAAGACCCGGUUCUAAUUAAGCAUCGUCACCCAUCACCCUUUCCGGAGGACAGUGGCAAAGACAUCGUGCCUCUGUCCCGCACUGUGAUCCUUCCUCCGAGGUCCUCACCCCCG